AUUUGUCAUAGGUGUAAAAACAAUCACAACCAAAGCUUAAAGCUGUUGGGAUGAGCAGCUGCCUGGGAAUCACGCUCCUUCCUGCUCUUUCCAAAAAGCCAGGUGCCGCCGGCCAGCAUCCCGCUCCCUUUGACCCGCAGUCUGUGCGGGAAGUAGGCCCGGAGUGGUGCCAGCAGGAGGUGGCCUUAGAAAGGCGGAGACCCAAGGAGCAGAGUGAGUCGGCGUCCAGCUCCACCUGAAAGCGCCAUCUUGUCGCCACUUCCCUCAGGAGCAGCAUGCCCAGCCUCUUGCAUAGGAAGAAGUGGUAAGCUAAGGAGAGAAAUGCAGGGUUCCUAGUACACCAAUUUUCCAACUUUUUCAUCUUGGCCCUGCUUUAAAAUGAUGCAUCUACUGUCUUCAUGCCUCAGCACAGCAGAGGGUCACCUGAAUGUGGAAAAGUUGAGUUGGAGCAAAACUGGCACGGCCAUACUGGAUGGACCUCAGCAUGACCAGGACACAUUUCAGCUCAAAUCCCCUGUGCCAAGAACACAUUCUGCCAAGGACCACCACCUCUUCCCACAACUAGAGCUGGCUUACCAGAGCACCGAUGGACUUGGAUACCUGAGAUAUCUGCUUGGGAUCCCACACUUUCAAGGUCUCUCCUCUGGCCUUCUUCUGGUUCUGCGACUCCUUACAGCGCUGGGAGUUGGUGAUGCCAACAGGACAUACGCUCCCAGAGCCUACCUCUCCCAGAUCACUUUAAAAGGCACCCAGGACCCCAGAAUUCUCAUCCUCAAAGGCAUGGAGCUCAGCUCUUGGCCCUCAACAAAUCUCUUCCCCAUAAAGAUCCUUUUGAGAGCUUAGGAUGUCCCCCGGAUGGUUUUGGUUGCAGAUUGUGGUGGUGGAGGGAGCUAUACAAUUUAAUCUAUUGCCAUUAAUUGGAUGCGCUAAUGGCAGAUUGGGUAGUGAUAAUGCCAUAAGAGGUAGUGUGUGAGCCGUGUGCUGCAUCUGUGCUAGCUCAGGUAAGUCAGCACACAGCACCUGCAGCCUCCUCUCACCUCUUCCCUGAGCAGCACCUUUUCACCUGAACAUGCUGAUCCCCUAGUGCUUCAUCUUGACAGCAACUUAACAAGCCCUGGGCAGCUUUUUAAAAUAAAUGACUAUGAUAUUGACUAUGAAUCUACAUAAAAGCCACUUGUUUUUUAGUCAUAAUCUGUGUCUAACUGCAGAAGAAAUUCACACCUUUGAAAAACAAAUAAAAAUGUAAAAAGUGAAAAUUGUUUGUAACCACAA
RNAcentral lists this long non-coding RNA (1272 nucleotides) under Homo sapiens (human). RNAcentral's name for it is "long intergenic non-protein coding RNA 1501". The record is from RNAcentral. Lineage: Eukaryota; Metazoa; Chordata; Mammalia; Primates; Hominidae.